GAUGAACGCUGGCGGCGUGCUUAACACAUGCAAGUCGAGCGAAAAGACGAGGAUCUUGCUCCUCGGACGUUAGCGGCGGGCGGGUGAGUAACACGUGGAUACCCUACCUAUAAGACUGGGAUAACUAAGGGAAAACGGAGCUCAUACCGGAUAAGAUGUUGAACCGCAUGGUUAGAAAGUGAAAGACGGCUUUGCUGUCUCGAAUAGAUGGUUCCGCGCCGGAUUAGCUAGUUGGUAAGGUAACGGCUUACCAAGGCAACGAUGCGUAGCCGACCUGAGAGGGCGAUCGGCCACACUGGAACUGAGACACGGUCCAGACUCCUACGGGAGGCAGCAGUGGGGAAUCUUGGGCAAUGGGCGAAAGCCUGACGCAGCAACGCCGCGUGAGGGAAGAAGGCCUUCGGGUCGUAAACCGCUUUUAUUAGGGAAGAACAACUGUGUAAUAAUCUAUGCAGGUCAUGACGGUACCUGAUCAAAAAGCCACGGCUAACUACGUG
Molecule: ribosomal RNA, 497 nt
Filed under: uncultured bacterium
Lineage: Bacteria
Description: partial 16S ribosomal RNA
Rfam family: Bacterial small subunit ribosomal RNA
Source: RNAcentral